UACGUAGGGGGCUAGCGUUGUCCGGAAUCAUUGGGCGUAAAGCGCGUGUAGGCGGUCCGGUAAGUCCGCUGUGAAAGUCGGGGGCUCAACCCUCGAAAGCCGGUGGAAACUGUCGGGCUAGAGUACGGAAGAGGCGAGUGGAAUUCCUGGUGUAGCGGUGAAAUGCGCAGAUAUCAGGAGGAACACCGAUUGCGAAGGCAGCUCGCUGGAACGUUACUGACGCUGAGACGCGAAAGCGUGGGGAGCAAACAGG
RNAcentral lists this ribosomal RNA (253 nucleotides) under uncultured bacterium. RNAcentral's name for it is "partial 16S ribosomal RNA". It matches the Rfam family "Bacterial small subunit ribosomal RNA", at positions 524 to 776 of the family's 1533-position model. The record is from RNAcentral.